CCUACGGGUGGCAGCAGUGGGGGAUAUUGCACAAUGGGGGAAACCCUGAUGCAGCGACGCCGCGUGUGGGAAGACGGUCCUCUGGAUUGUAAACCACUGUCCCCAGGGACGAAGAUGUCGGUACCUGGGGAGGAAGCUCCGACCAACUACGUGCCAGCAGCCGCGGUAAUACGUAGGGAGCGAGCGUUGGCCGGAAUUACGGGGGGUAAAGGGAACGUAGGCGGCGGUGCAAGUUGGGGGUCAAAACUACGGGGUCAACUGGUAGUCGCACCCAAAACUGCAGCUCUUGAGUGAAGUAGAGGCAGGCGGAAUUCCUAGUGUAGCGGUGAAAUGCGUAGAGAUUAGGAGGAACACCAGUGGCGAAGGCGGCCUGCUGGGCUUUUACUGACGCUGAGGCUCGAAAGUGUGGGGAGCAAACAGGAUUAGAUACCCGGGUAGUC
Molecule: ribosomal RNA, 440 nt
Filed under: uncultured bacterium
Lineage: Bacteria
Description: partial 16S ribosomal RNA
Rfam family: Bacterial small subunit ribosomal RNA
Source: RNAcentral